GAUCCUGGCUCAGGAUGAACGCUAGCUACAGGCUUAACACAUGCAAGUCGAGGGGAACACAUCGAAAGCUGCUUUGAUGGGCGUCGACCGGCGCACGGGUGAGUAACGCGUAUCCAACCUGCCCAUCACUUGGGAAUAACCUUGCGAAAGAAGACUAUGCCCAAUGAUAUCCCACGAAGGCAUCCGAAUGGGAUUAAAGAUUUAUCGGUGAUGGAUGGGGAUGCGU
This 226-nucleotide ribosomal RNA is filed under the name uncultured bacterium. Its description in RNAcentral is "partial 16S ribosomal RNA". It matches the Rfam family "Bacterial small subunit ribosomal RNA", at positions 15 to 236 of the family's 1533-position model. The record is from RNAcentral.